GGAUAGCUCACUGGUAGAGCACCGGUCGCGAUAACGGGAGGUCCGUGGUUCGAUUCCCGUCC
This 62-nucleotide transfer RNA is filed under the name uncultured Pyramimonadales. Lineage: Eukaryota; Viridiplantae; Chlorophyta; Pyramimonadophyceae; Pyramimonadales. The record is from RNAcentral.